RNAcentral lists this ribosomal RNA (863 nucleotides) under uncultured crenarchaeote. RNAcentral's name for it is "bacterial SSU rRNA". It matches the Rfam family "Archaeal small subunit ribosomal RNA", at positions 10 to 879 of the family's 1478-position model. The record is from RNAcentral. Lineage: Archaea; Thermoproteati; Thermoproteota.
GAUCCCGCCGGACCUGACUGCUAUCGGAUUGAUACUAAGCCAUGCGAGUCUUGUAGUAAUACAAGGCAGACGGCUCAGUAACACGUAGUCAACCUACCCUAUGGACAAGAAUAAUCUCGGGAAACUGGGCAUAAUUCUUGAUAGAUCAUAAUGCCUGGAAUGGUUUAUGGUUAAAAUGAUUCGUCGCCAUAGGAUGGGACUGCGGCCUAUCAGCUUGUUGGUGAGGUAAUGGCCCACCAAGGCGAUUACAGGUACGGGCUCUGAGAGGAGAAGCCCGGAGAUGGGUACUGAGACACGGACCCAGGCCCUAUGGGGCGCAGCAGGCGAGAAAACUUUGCAAUGUGCGAAAGCACGACAAGGUUAAUCCGAGUGAUUUCUGCUAAAGAAAUCUUUUGCCAGUCAUAAAACCACUGGUGAAUAAGGGGUGGGCAAGUUCUGGUGUCAGCCGCCGCGGUAAAACCAGCACCUCAAGUGGUCAGGAUGAUUAUUGGGCCUAAAGCAUCCGUAGCCGGCUUUGUUAGUUUUCGGUUAAAUCCAUGUGCUCAACGCAUGGGCCGCCGAAAAUACUGCAUAGCUAGGGAGUGGGAGAGGUAGACGGUACUCAGUAGGAAGGGGUAAAAUCCUUUGAUCUAUUGAUGACCACCUGUGGCGAAGGCGGUCUACCAGAACACGUUCGACGGUGAGGGAUGAAAGCUGGGGGAGCAAACCGGAUUAGAUACCCGGGUAGUCCCAGCUGUAAACGAUGCAGACUCGAUGAUGCAUUGGCAUAAUAGCCAGUGCAGUGUCGCAGGGAAGCCGUUAAGUCUGCCGCCUGGGAAGUACGUACGCAAGUAUGAAACUUAAAGGAAUUGGCGGGGGAGCAC